Molecule: RNA transcript, 2302 nt
Organism: Eutrema salsugineum
Lineage: Eukaryota; Viridiplantae; Streptophyta; Magnoliopsida; Brassicales; Brassicaceae
Gene name: probable polyol transporter 4
Exons: 4
Source: RefSeq, a predicted model, not a curated record
CUUACGUUUUGGGGUCAAGUUGUGUUUUGAAAAUUCACCAAUUUGGUCAAACAAGAAAAAGAGGAGAUUUUUUAGUCUCCGUCUUCCCUCCGGCUCAGAUCUACGGCUUUCUUCUCCAACCCUUUGUCUGAAUUUUCUUUCCGAACCGGUUCUGCUCUAUUUCUCGUCGAGAGAGAAAUGAAUCUGCCGGCGGUAGGAAAUGGCUAUGGAUCGAGUUUUCCGGCUGUCUCUGUCGGAGACAAGAGGAACAAGUAUCAGAGAAUGGACUCCGACGCGGAGGGAACUCAAUCGCAGAAUCAUCGCGACAGAGAGACCAGAAGCAACAGAACCAGAAAAUACGUUAUGGCCUGCGCCUUUUUUGCAUCUUUGAACAAUGUUCUUCUCGGAUACGAUGUUGGGGUAAUGAGCGGUGCGGUGUUGUUCAUACAGCAGGAUCUCAAAAUAACGGAAGUGCAGACGGAAAUCCUCAUCGGCAGCCUCAGCAUCAUCUCUCUCUUCGGCAGCUUAGCCGGCGGCAGAACCUCCGACUCCAUCGGCAGGAAAUGGACCAUGGCUUUGGCUGCUCUCGUCUUCCAGACCGGCGCGGCCGUCAUGGCUAUUGCUCCUUCCUUCGAGGUUCUGAUGAUCGGAAGAACUUUAGCCGGAAUUGGGAUCGGACUCGGCGUCGUGAUUGCUCCGGUCUACAUCGCUGAGAUAUCCCCCACCGUGGCCAGAGGCUUUCUCACUUCAUUCCCUGAGAUCUUUAUAAACUUAGGGAUCUUGCUAGGUUAUGUCUCCAACUACGCCUUCUCGGGGCUUGCCGUGCAUAUUAGCUGGAGGAUCAUGCUUGCAGUCGGGAUUCUUCCUUCGGUCUUCAUAGGAUUUGCGCUGUGCGUGAUCCCUGAAUCGCCUAGGUGGCUGGUGAUGAAAGGCCAAGUGGACAGAGCACGAGAGGUGCUCAUGAAGACUAACGAGCGAGAUGACGAAGUGGAAGAGCGGCUCGCAGAGAUACAACUGGCGGCUGCAAAGACACAAGGCAGCGAGGACAGACCCGUGUGGCGUGAGCUUCUAAGCCCAUCUCCUGCUGUACGGAAAAUGCUCAUCGUUGGUUUUGGGAUCCAGUGUUUCCAGCAGAUCACAGGAAUCGACGCUACCGUCUACUAUAGCCCAGAGAUCUUGAAAGAGGCUGGGAUACAAGAUGAGACCAAGCUGCUAGCUGCGACUGUCGCUGUUGGGGUCACCAAAACGGUGUUCAUACUCUUCGCCACCUUCAUGAUCGAUAGCAUCGGCCGUAAACCACUGCUUUAUGUGAGCACAGUCGGAAUGACUCUGUGUCUCUUUAGUCUCAGCUUCACUCUCACAUUUCUAGGCCAAGGAACGCUUGGCAUAACGUUGGCGCUUCUCUUUGUUUGUGGGAAUGUUGCCUUCUUCUCUAUUGGGAUGGGACCUGUUUGCUGGGUCUUGACGUCAGAGAUCUUCCCGUUACGGCUAAGAGCUCAGGCAUCAGCGCUUGGAGCUGUCGGGAAUAGGGUCUGCAGCGGUCUUGUGGCUAUGUCCUUCCUCUCUGUGUCACGUGCCAUCACUGUCGGAGGAACCUUCUUCGUCUUCUCCCUCGUGUCUGCGCUAUCGGUUAUUUUUGUGUACGUGCUAGUUCCAGAGACUAGUGGGAAGUCGCUGGAGCAAAUAGAGCUGAUGUUUCAGGUCGGGCUGGAAACGAAAGGCAGUGAAGUCGAGCUUGGGGAUGCUGAGCGUCUUGUGCGCAAGGAUCAAGGUUUUUGACUUUUGAGGGCAGAAUUGGACAUGUUAAAGAAGAAGAGGCAGAAGAAAAAAGAUUCUCUAUUGUGUUCUGUUCUUUUUUAGAGCCGAUGAAAGUAAGACAGAUCUUGCAAUAAUCGAGGCUGCAAGCCAUCAUGGAUUCUUAUUUAUGCCUUUUACAUCUCACAGACGGGAUUUUAGUUGGUACGUAUUUCAACAAAACCUCGCACCUAGUCACAUUUUGAUGGAAAUUAUCGUUCAGUUUCAUUGAAAAUCACUAUUUAUCGCAUUUGCAACGGCUAGUGUUUUCGAUAUUUGAUAUGAGAUAUCUUUUGGCCAUAUGGAAAACAACACGAAACAGCAUUGUGAGGGCUGGGAGACGCUGAGGCCUGAGCUCUCCUUUCCGUACAGCCACUUCUGUACGUAUUUUAUUUAUUCUGCAAGUAAAAGCUCCAGAUUCUCACAGAGAUUUUGAUGAUUCUCUCAUUGUAAGCUCCACAACUACAUGCGCCAGAUCGUCCUCGAUAAGACGAAAACAGAGCAGAGAUAGAAAUAUUAAAAAUAUUAU